GCUCUGUGUCCUCUGGCAAGAGCUCAGUCUGGAGGGACCAUGAGGUGCUCUCCUCGUCGGCGUUCCUGCCCAGAGCUAUGAGAAAUGUGUCAAAGUCUGUCUUACACAUUAUGCACUACAAAUUCCAUCUGCCCAUUUAGCAAGCUCAGAGUGAUUAGUUCAGAAGUUGAUUCUCCUUGUGCAAAAACAGUCACGUUAUUUGCUUUUUGAAGAAAGAGCAAAGUUGGUGUAAGGAAUGCAGAGAUCCUGGUCCUGGAAGCACUCUCCACCUUCUGCCUCCUGUUCCCUGAGUGAGCUGCUUUUGCAUGGGAUCACAUGCUCUGAUGAUGCAGACCAUCAGUACUGACACAAGCUAAAAAUAACUCAAACACCAGAUUGCAUCUCCUGUCAAAGUGUUCAAUAACUCCGAGUCAACAAUGAUCUUGGUAUUUUAAACACAGUUGCAUCCAUAUUGAGGUGGAAUUCAGCAGCCAUCUGGUCCUUGGAAAAGGAAGAUGUUAGCAGUGCAUAGAUAAAUCAAGAAAAAAUAUAAAUAAAUAUUUUAA
Passer domesticus (house sparrow) is the source of this 545-nucleotide long non-coding RNA. RefSeq lists it as uncharacterized. The transcript has 4 exons. The record is from RefSeq and is a predicted model, not a curated record. Lineage: Eukaryota; Metazoa; Chordata; Aves; Passeriformes; Passeridae.